UUAUGAAUUUUUAAGAAGCCACUUUCUCUCUCUGAUUYAGAACAAACCUGAAGAGAAGAAUCAUUUUAUAUAAAUUUAGUUUUGGUGUAAUUAAAGCAUGAUUUCUGCUCUUCUUGGACCGACACGUGAUCUUUCAGUCGACUCCUGCUACUCUUCUCCCAGUAGGAACAAAAACCGCUGCCUUUUGAUCAGUAAACACUUGGGCUCACAGUCCAGAACCUGCAGGAAACGGCUACAAACCGCUGCUCAUUUGUGGCUGCAGAGAUAUUUCUGUUUGUUCGUCUGGCUGCUGGGAGAAUAAAGCCUUCGUUCCUUCACCCAGUUCACAUCGGUAAUUUUAGAAGGGACAACUCUGUCUUUCCACAUCGGAGCCUGAAGUUUUUGAAUUAGAUGAGAAAGUUAUACCUCCACACCCACGCAGCAGACUGAAGGAGGUUAAAAGGCUGUGGCAAAACCUGGGUGAUGAACUUCAGAGGAAUGGGAAUAAUACAGGACUGUAGCUCGCAGGCAGCAGGAAACAGAAGAGCGGGAACACAUGGAGGCUGAGUUCCUGCCUUGUUCUCGGAGCACAGAAGGAGAAGCAGCAGCAGAAGCAGGAGAACACCUGGCAGAAGGAAGAUCUGACCUGUUGGACUUCAUGAACCAAUAAACGAGAUURCAGUUUUUUUGUUUCAGUUAUUUUAUUUUUUCACUUCUGAAUGUUUUGUGGUAUUUUAAUCAUUAUUAUUUCAAAAUGUUCCAAUGAUUCAGGAGACGAAUGC
Long non-coding RNA from Austrofundulus limnaeus, 761 nucleotides. RefSeq lists it as uncharacterized. The transcript is spliced from 3 exons. The record is from RefSeq and is a predicted model, not a curated record. Lineage: Eukaryota; Metazoa; Chordata; Actinopteri; Cyprinodontiformes; Rivulidae.